Molecule: long non-coding RNA, 657 nt
Filed under: Felis catus (domestic cat)
Lineage: Eukaryota; Metazoa; Chordata; Mammalia; Carnivora; Felidae
Description: lncRNA (ENSFCAG00000045469.2)
Source: RNAcentral
CUGCGACGCAAGGCGAGGCCCCUCCCCGACGGUGGAGCGAGGGCAUCGACAAGGCGUGGGUGUCCGCCCGCCAGGAACUCAAGCAGCCCCCCACGCCUGGCCGAGAGCGCGAGUGGGCGGUGGCCGAGACCUGCCAGUUACUUGACCCCAACACCCUCCCUGGCUUCAGCCAGCGCGCGCUGCGCCUCCCCCCGCCAGCAGGCGGCGCGGCGGCGAAGCCCCAGUGGGCCUGCGCGGAGCAGCCGGCGCUUCGACGUCUGCCACGGGGCGCUGCGCACAGGCGCCCUCCGGGUCAUCGUCACGCCGCGCGGCCUCUGCGUAGGCGUGGUGAUGGCGCCGCCCCGGCUGGCGGAGCCCGUCGGCCUCGUGGAGGCCUCACGUCAUAAUCGGGGAGGGCGGGGGGGGGGGGGUUUCUGCAUCUACUGCACCCUGAACGGGGAGCGGAGUCCCAGGUGGCGGGCGCCCCGGUGUUGGUCGUGGACGCCCAUCGAGCCCGCUGGCUUCACCGCUGACCUGAGGUCCCACGCGGCGGCCAGGCCUUCCCCUGCUGAUUGCAAGGGCAAGACGAACGCCCUCAGCAGUGCGGGGAAGGAAGGGAUGCGACGCCCAACACUUUAUAAACUUCAAGGCAGGAAAUCUUGUGCCGUGUCACGUUGA